UUUUUAAUUGUACAACUCAAUAAAUGUGCGUGUGUGUGUCUUCGUUUGUUAUAUAUUUUAUGUGUUAUGUGAUGUGGGUUUUCUUUAAAAUAUAUUUUUGUGUGUACCCAUUUAGUUUAGUUUUCAAAGAUAUACAUUACCACAGCCCUGAAUAAGUUUAAAAAUAAAUUAUAAAAUGGUUCUUACUAUGUAAAUUUUUAUAAAAUGGCACACCCUAAACUUAAAUAUGAAAAAAAACGCUAAAACAAAAUAAAAAUAAUAAAUCAAAAUAAUUGAUCAAAAUGCAAAAAAAUUUUAAAACAAGAGCACAUUCAAUACUUUCAUAAAUAAUUUCGUAAUCUGGGCAUUUGAAAACCCAGAAGCGACGUGCUGCGUUGACUAAUGUGGUCUAAUGUGCUAUUAAGCAAGCCAGGUUCGCCCACGUCAUGCACAGAUGCCGGAUGGUACCAGGACCAAAUAAAGAUGAUAGCGUGUGAUGACGAACGAUGAGUCCAGCUGUACAAGGCCGCAAUACCCCAGGUUGGGGAGGUUUGCCAUGCAGAUUCUGCUAUUGUUAAAUAAAGAAUACAAAAAACCGCUGACGAAAAGUGGCGGGGAGAUAAACUAUGGGUUUACAAAUGUGAAGGUCAUGACCUACAAGUCGGACGCCGAUGAAGUAAACCACUUGGCAUCGGAAACUGAGUGUGAAGUCGAGGAAAAUAAAAUGGAGUCCUCGAGUGACGUUGAAAAACACUGAGCAAGAUGAGUGUUCUUCACCUAGUCGGUGCUCCGCAGCAUAAACAUGUUUAUCUCGACAAUGCCGAGACAAUAAAAAAGAUAUAACAUAAACAAACACAAGGGAACCAUAUGCAUGCAAUACACAUGCAUUCAUCACUUAACAAUGCAAAACGUAUUUACCUAGUUUAAGAACUUACAGAUAAACAAACAUACCUAGUAUUAUCUAUGCAUACAAUGUAAUACACAUAACAUAUACACGCACAUUUAGGUAUAUUCUAAAAAUAAUAUAUAAGCAAUGAAAAUACUGAAAUAAAACCAGAAUGAAAUAGUUCUCACUCGAUGACGAUGUCUAUCAAUUUUAGUCCCUCACCAGAGUUAAUACAAUAUUGUUUAGCUCGUCAUCAAUAGAACAGAGGUAGUAUUUGCGGAUUGAAGACACCGGGAUAUAAUUUAUACAUGGCAAACUGCGAAUGGCUAAUGAAAAACUUAAUGUGUUCUUGUUACAUAGCUAAAGUAAUCAAUACACCACAGCAGUAAGCUGGGAGACGGGCAGUAACAAAUACAGAGUAUCUUAAUGAAACUCAAAGACCACCUCUUUCUAAUAAUCGUGUUAGUCUGAGAGCCAGUGGACGGCAGGGCAGACUGUAUGUAUUUUACCCAAGGUGAUAUUUUGCUAAGAGAUUCUCCUAUACCUAUCUUAUAUGAUAUCGGGAGUCACUAAGCCCAGCGAAGGUAGCUAUAACGUCACUAAGGUAAUACAUGUACGAAGUUUCGAAAGUAUUUUAACAAAGCUGCAGUUUGAUCAUAUUAAAAAGUGCAAUGAAUGGCAGAUUGUGAGUUAUAGCCUCGUGGUAGACGUUUUGAAAAUAAAAAGUAUUUUAACAUAUCUGAUUUAUAUAUAUAUUGCUUUUAAUACUCUUAAUAGCUUAUUCUUCGAACGGCAAACGUUUUCUCUGGUUGCAACAGCCCGGAAGACGGUAAUACAUAUAUUACUUACGUUAUAUCUGUUGGUCUCACUUGUUCAGGUCGCACCUGUUCUUUGUCCAGGAUAUUUUUGACCAUUUGUAAAAUGGAAAUAUUACCAAAUGUUUUUGGCACAAUUUUAUAGAUUGUAAAAUAAAAAAAGUAAAGAAAAUCUAAUUUCGGGUGUAACCGAACAUUUUAUACUCUCGCAACUUGCAAAGUUAAAAGCUGGGAAUACACUUUUGGGUGCUGGCAAAACACCUAGUUUCAUAACUUCAUUUUACUUACCGUCAGCAAAAAUUAUAUUAAAAUCAUGCUCAAAUGAGAUAUAUAUGACAUAAACUGAACCAAAGAGGCUAAUAUUAAAAUGUUGAGUUAAUGUGGUAAACGCUAACCAAAGGAUCGAAAUUCAUUGUUUUAGUGAUAUGAGGUUUAGACCAACUCCUUACUCCCAGAAAAACGCCUGGGCACUACCUUUGCCAUUGACUCAUACACUGACCCACAUAAUCGGCAUAUGGUUUGUUAGAAUAACGAAAAUCAUUAUAUGUAGAAUAUGGGAAUCGGGGUAAUUCGACCAAUUUCACACAUUUUCUGCAUUAAGGGGGUUUCUACCUUGCUAGCCCGAAAACCUGCGUUUUUUCUUGAAUUCUGAAUGAAUGGCAAAAUUUUCGCACAUUUGUCGGAAAAAGUUUAUUGUAGCUUUACAAAAUAGGGGGUACCAAACAAUAGCUGUAGGUCGGCGGCGAACCGUAGUACUAGAACGAAGGAGAAAACAUGAAAUAUGCAUCCAUUAUGAGCAUUUGAAAAUUUUUGGCUCCAUUUUUUUUGUUACUAAUUAUUUUUUUAAAUAAACAAUUUUAAAUAUUUUUGCACAAACUUCUGAUGAACAAGUGUAAAAGACUUCAUGGUGAUUGCUCAAUUUUUGCGCCCUGUAGGACUCGAGAACCUUAUCAACUAAAAAACGCGGUUUUGAAAAAACCGAGGUUUUUUUCAGGCCGCGUCGCAAAUUUUUAUGGUAUAUUCUUGCGAAAUGUAUGCAAAAAUAUGCAAUAAAAAAAAUCUGGUUUUUCGAUCUCACAAUAAAGAAACCCCUCUUAAACUAUAGUGUAUCCAAUUUUAUACGCUCAGUUAAUUUUGCUAAGAUAUCGUACAUGUUGACUUAUACAUUGUGUUCAUGAAAAUAGUAGUGCAUCAAGAACAUAUACGGACUUGAAAAGUCAAAAAUCGUUGUUAUAUUGUAAGAAUUAUGAAAACGAAAAAAUUCCGUUACUUUUGCUUUUCCGUUUUGUUUUUCUAAAAAAUAAAAUAACAAACAAGCGAAGAAUCGUGGGAAAAAAACCAAUAUUGGAGGACAUAUUGAUUAUACGAUAUGUACAAAACAAGCCCUAAGCAUCCUCAAAAAUGGUGAAUUUAAUGUUGUCAGUUACUUCUCUUACAAAUCAUAGGGGACUACUUGAAAACAAUUUGAAGAUAAAGAGUUCCCGGAACGUUAACUUCGGUUGCACCGAAGCUAUAAUACCCUUCACAAAUACAAAGGCCCCUU
Molecule: non-coding RNA, 3223 nt
Organism: Bactrocera oleae (olive fruit fly)
Lineage: Eukaryota; Metazoa; Arthropoda; Insecta; Diptera; Tephritidae
Source: RefSeq, a predicted model, not a curated record